GUUGGUGUCGAUGACGCUGAGGGUCCACCUGUUCCCAUCCCGAACACAGAAGUUAAGCUCAGUAGUGCCGAAGAUAGUUGGCUGGAAGCGGCCUGUGAAAAUAGGAAGACGCCAACA
RNAcentral lists this ribosomal RNA (117 nucleotides) under Ruminococcus sp. Lineage: Bacteria; Bacillati; Bacillota; Clostridia; Eubacteriales; Oscillospiraceae. RNAcentral also lists the same sequence under 4 other names. The record is from RNAcentral.